GGGCCGCUAGCUCAGCUGGUAGAGCAACGGACUUUUAAUCCGUAGGUCCCAGGUUCGAGUCCUGGGCGGCUCA
This 73-nucleotide transfer RNA is filed under the name Desulfurobacterium pacificum. Its description in RNAcentral is "tRNA_Lys_TTT". It matches the Rfam family "tRNA". Rfam says of the family: Transfer RNA (tRNA) molecules are approximately 80 nucleotides in length. Their secondary structure includes four short double-helical elements and three loops (D, anti-codon, and T loops). Further hydrogen bonds mediate the characteristic L-shaped molecular structure. tRNAs have two regions of fundamental functional importance: the anti-codon, which is responsible for specific mRNA codon recognition, and the 3' end, to which the tRNAs corresponding amino acid is attached (by aminoacyl-tRNA synthetases). tRNAs cope with the degeneracy of the genetic code in two manners: having more than one tRNA (with a specific anti-codon) for a particular amino acid; and 'wobble' base-pairing, i.e. permitting non-standard base-pairing at the 3rd anti-codon position. Lineage: Bacteria; Pseudomonadati; Aquificota; Aquificia; Desulfurobacteriales; Desulfurobacteriaceae. The record is from RNAcentral.